AUCACGGCUGACGUCUGCUGCGAUCUCGGCAAGGGGCCUCGUGGGGAUCUUGGAUGCUGGAACAGUCCCUUCACCUUCGAGACUUGCUGCCCCCCUGCCGUCACGCAGGCCGUUGCGGCCGCUGCGUUCGAGCGGAGCUGCUGGUCGGGACUUGGACCCACCGCUCA
Molecule: non-coding RNA, 167 nt
Filed under: Alexandrium fundyense
Lineage: Eukaryota; Dinophyceae; Gonyaulacales; Pyrocystaceae
Source: RNAcentral